UAAUACGAAGGGUGCAAGCGUUAAUCGGAAUUACUGGGCGUAAAGCGUGCGUAGGCGGUUGGCUAAGUCAGAUGUGAAAGCCCUGGGCUCAACCUGGGAAUGGCAUUUGAAACUGGCCGGCUAGAGUGUGAUAGAGGAUGGCGGAAUUCCCGGUGUAGCGGUGAAAUGCGUAGAGAUCGGGAGGAACAUCCGUGGCGAAGGCGGCCAUCUGGAUCAACACUGACGCUGAGGCACGAAAGCGUGGGGAGCAAACAGGAUUAGAUACCCUGGUAGUCCACGCCCUAAACGAUGCGAACUGGAUGUUGGUCUCAACUCGGAGAUCAGUGUCGAAGCUAACGCGUUAAGUUCGCCGCCUGGGGAGUACGGUCGCAAGACUG
RNAcentral lists this ribosomal RNA (377 nucleotides) under uncultured bacterium. RNAcentral describes it as "bacterial SSU rRNA". It matches the Rfam family "Bacterial small subunit ribosomal RNA", at positions 521 to 896 of the family's 1533-position model. The record is from RNAcentral.